This 467-nucleotide ribosomal RNA is filed under the name uncultured bacterium. Its description in RNAcentral is "partial 16S ribosomal RNA". It matches the Rfam family "Bacterial small subunit ribosomal RNA", at positions 28 to 507 of the family's 1533-position model. The record is from RNAcentral.
GACGAACGCUGGCGGCGUGCUUAACACAUGCAAGUCGAACGGAAAGGCCUCUUUCGGGGGGUACUCGAGUGGCGAACGGGUGAGUAACACGUGAGUAACCUGCCCUUGACUUUGGGAUAACUUCAGGAAACUGGGGCUAAUACCGGAUAGGAGCUCCUGCUGCAUGGUGGGGGUUGGAAAGUUUCGGCGGUUGGGGGUGGACUCGCGGCUUAUCAGCUUGUUGGUGGGGUAGUGGCUGACCAAGGCUUUGGCGGGUAGCCGGCCUGAGAGGGUGACCGGCCACAUUGGGACUGAGAUACGGCCCAGGCUCCUACGGGAGGCAGCAGUGGGGAAUAUUGCACAAUGGGUGGAGGCCUGAUGCAGCAACGCCGUGUGCGGGAUGACGGCCUUCGGGUUGUAAACCGCUUUCGCUCAUGACGAAGCUUUGUGUGACGGUAGUGGGUAAAGAAGCACCGGCUAACUACGUG